Molecule: ribosomal RNA, 443 nt
Filed under: uncultured bacterium
Lineage: Bacteria
Description: partial 16S ribosomal RNA
Rfam family: Bacterial small subunit ribosomal RNA
Source: RNAcentral
CCUACGGGCGUCAGCAGUGGGGAAUAUUGGGCAAUGGGCGCAAGCCUGACCCAGCAACGCCGCGUGAAGGAAGAAGGCUUUCGGGUUGUAAACUUCUUUUCUCAGGGACGAAGCAAGUGACGGUACCUGAGGAAUAAGCCACGGCUAACUACGUGCCAGCAGCCGCGGUAAUACGUAGGUGGCAAGCGUUAUCCGGAUUUACUGGGUGUAAAGGGCGUGUAGGCGGGAAAGCAAGUCAGAUGUGAAAACUAUGGGCUCAACCUAUGGCCUGCAUUUGAAACUGUACUUCUUGAGUACUGGAGAGGCAGACGGAAUUCCGAGUGUAGCGGUGAAAUGCGUAGAUAUUAGGAGGAACACCAGUGGCGAAGGCGGACUGCUGGACAGUAACUGACGCUGAGGCGCGAAAGCGUGGGGAGCAAACAGGAUUAGAUACCCGUGUAGUC